UACGUAGGGGGCAAGCGUUAUCCGGAUUUAUUGGGCGUAAAGGGAACGCAGGCGGUCUUUUAAGUCUGAUGUGAAAGCCUUCGGCUUAACCGGAGUAGUGCAUUGGAAACUGGGAGACUUGAGUGCAGAAGAGGAGAGUGGAACUCCAUGUGUAGCGGUGAAAUGCGUAGAUAUAUGGAAGAACACCAGUGGCGAAAGCGGCUCUCUGGUCUGUAACUGACGCUGAGGUUCGAAAGCGUGGGUAGCAGACAGG
RNAcentral lists this ribosomal RNA (253 nucleotides) under uncultured bacterium. Its description in RNAcentral is "partial 16S ribosomal RNA". It matches the Rfam family "Bacterial small subunit ribosomal RNA", at positions 524 to 776 of the family's 1533-position model. The record is from RNAcentral.